Molecule: ribosomal RNA, 492 nt
Filed under: uncultured bacterium
Lineage: Bacteria
Description: partial 16S ribosomal RNA
Rfam family: Bacterial small subunit ribosomal RNA
Source: RNAcentral
AGUGAACGCUGGCGGUAGGCCUAACACAUGCAAGUCGAACGGCAGCACAGUAAGAGCUUGCUCUUACGGGUGGCGAGUGGCGGACGGGUGAGGAAUACAUCGGAAUCUACUUUUUCGUGGGGGGUAACGUAGGGAAACUUACGCUAAUACCGCAUACGACCUACGGGUGAAAGCAGGGGAUCUUCGGACCUUGCGCGAUUGAAUGAGCCGAUGUCGGAUUAGCUAGUUGGCGGGGUAAAGGCCCUCCAAGGCGACGAUCCGUAGCUGGUCUGAGAGGAUGAUCAGCCACACUGGAACUGAGACACGGUCCAGACUCCUACGGGAGGCAGCAGUGGGGAAUAUUGGACAAUGGGCGCAAGCCUGAUCCAGCCAUACCGCGUGGGUGAGGAAGGCCUUCGGGUUGUAAAGCCCUUUUGUUGGGAAAGAAAAGCAGCAGGUUAAUACCCCGCUGUUCUGACGGUACCCAAAGAAUAAGCACCGGCUAACUUCGUG